GUCUAAAAGCUUAAAAUUUAGAAGCUGUAAAUUUUUAAUUUAUCGAUGGUUUUCACCUUAGGCUA
RNAcentral lists this transfer RNA (65 nucleotides) under Alcedoecus sp. RNAcentral describes it as "tRNA-Lys". The record is from RNAcentral. Lineage: Eukaryota; Metazoa; Arthropoda; Insecta; Psocodea; Philopteridae.